Molecule: ribosomal RNA, 1821 nt
Filed under: human gut metagenome
Description: bacterial LSU rRNA
Rfam family: Bacterial large subunit ribosomal RNA
Source: RNAcentral
GAUCUAACCAUGACCAGGAUGAAGCGUGGGUAACACUACGUGGAGGUCCGAACCGACUGAUGUUGAAAAAUCAGCGGAUGAGUUGAGGUUAGGGGUGAAAUGCCAAUCGAACCAAGAGCUAGCUGGUUCUCCCCGAAAUGCGUUUAGGCACAGCGUCAGAAUUAUCUUACAGGAGGUAGAGCACUGGUUUUGUGCGGGCGGCGAAAUGCUGUACCAAACAAUGUCAAACUCCGAAUGCCUGUAAAGUUACUAUCUGGCAGUGAGGCUACGAGUGAUAAGAUCCGUGGCCAAGAGGGAAACAGCCCAGAACGCCAGUUAAGGUCCCUAAUAUAUGCUAAGUGGUUAAGGAGGUAGAGUUGCAUUGACAACCAGGAGGUUGGCUUAGAAGCAGCCAUCCCUUGAAAGAGUGCGUAAUAGCUCACUGGUCAAGCGACUCCGCGCCGAAAAUACACCGGGACUCAAGCAUAUAACCGAAGCUGCGUCAUUUGAGUUUACUCAGAUGGGUAGGGGAGCGUUCUGUUGUAGGACGAAGUAAGAUCGAAAGGACUUAUGGACGAAACAGAAGUGAGAAUGUCGGCAUAAGUAGCGAAAACAUUGGUGAGAAUCCAAUGCACCGUAAACCUAAGGUUUCCCCUGGCAGGCUCGUCCGCAGGGGGUUAGUCGGAACCUAAGAUGAGGCCGAAAGGCGUAGUCGAUGGACAUCAGGUUGAUAUUCCUGAACUAUCUGGUAAUCGUUAUCAGAUGCGGAGGGACGCAGGAGGAUAGGCACGCAGCCGACUGGAAGAGGCUGUUUAAGCGUGUAGCUAGUUUGAGUAGGAAAAUCCGCUCAGGCGUUAUGACGUGAGGCGUAAUGAGGAGAGUCUACGGACUCGAAGGUGUUGACUCCACACUGCCAAGAAAAACUUCGCAAUCGAGAUUAUCCGGUAUCCGUACCGUAAACCGCCACAGGUAGGUUAGUAGAAAAUACUAAGGUGCGCGAGACAACUCUCGCUAAGGAACUCGGCAAAAUCACCUCGUAACUUCGGGAGAAGAGGUACCCUGGUAGAGUGAAGCGAUUUACUCGUGGAGCUUGAUAGGGUCGCAGUGAAUUGGCCCAUGCGACUGUUUACCAAAAACACAGGUCUCUGCUAAGUCGAACAAGACGAUGUAUAGGGGCUGACGCCUGCCCGGUGUCGGAAGGUUACGUGGAAGGGUUAGUAGUAAUACGAAGCUCUGAAACUAAGCCCCGAUGAACGGCGGCCGUAACUAUAACGGUCCUAAGGUAGCGAAAUUCCUUGUCAGGUAAGUUCUGACCCGCACGAAUGGCGUAACGAUAUGGGCGCUGUCUCGGCGAGAGGCUCGGCGAAAUUGGAUUAUCCGUGAAGAUACGGAUUACGUGUACCAGGACAGAAAGACCCUAUUGAGCUUUACUGUAGCUUGAAAUUGAAUUCGGGUUCUUAUUGUGCAGUAUAGGUGGGAGACAAUGAAGAAGGGACGUCAGUUCUUUUGGAGUCAUCGUUGAGAUACCACUCUGUAAUAAUUUGAAUUCUAACCUUGAUCCCUCUAAGAACAGGGCAAGGGACAGUUUCUGGUAGGCAGUUUGACUGGGGCGGUCGCCUCCUAAAAAGUAACGGAGGCGUUCAAAGGUUCCCUCAGGUUGGUCGGAAAUCAACCGUUGAGUGUAAUAGCACAAGGGAGCUUGACUGCGAGACCUACAAGUCGAGCAGGUACGAAAGUAGGAUAUAGUGAUCCGGUGGUUCUGUAUGGAAGGGCCAUCGCUCAUCGGAUAAAAGUUACCAUAGGGAUAACAGGCUUAUCUCCCCCAAGAGUCCACAUCGACGG